This 552-nucleotide long non-coding RNA is filed under the name Phascolarctos cinereus (koala). RNAcentral describes it as "lncRNA (ENSPCIG00000014738.2)". The record is from RNAcentral. Lineage: Eukaryota; Metazoa; Chordata; Mammalia; Diprotodontia; Phascolarctidae.
GCAGGAUCAGAGCAUGAGGAGGAGGGGGCUCUAAAAGCCGCCUUCCCCCACUCUAAACUGCGCGCAGCCCCGGGGGAAAGGAAGCUGUGUGGAUCCCACCCCCACCAUGCAGGCUGGAGGGUUUGGGGUUCGGGUAUAAGUGGGGGUGCGAGGACAGGCUCGGGGAGCGCCGGUUUUCUCGGAUGCAGAUUAGCCGCCUGGAGGCGAAGGCUUUUCUGUUUGGCUUCCCUGGAAGCAGCCAAGCUCUAUAAAAGGAAAAUGAGAAGCCAUCACAGCUGGGGCCGCUCCAGGCCUUUCUGCAAAAGACUAGCCUGGCCAGAAUCCAAACCGCAAGCCUCAGCGGGCAGCCCGGGGAAGGGGGCCCGGCCUCCCAGCCCCCCUCACUCUCCGCCCAGCCGGCCCGGGAGGUCCUGCUGCUGCCCUCCGGAGCCAACGGGGGAGAUGGAGAAAGGUGUGUGUAUGUGUGUGUGGGAGGGGUGCACUCAGGCGCUGCUGCUGUCUGAUUAGUAACCAGGAGAGGGGAGGAGGGGACAGACUUCAGAGGGAGAUUGU